RNAcentral lists this ribosomal RNA (320 nucleotides) under Campylobacter jejuni. RNAcentral describes it as "partial 23S ribosomal RNA". It matches the Rfam family "Bacterial large subunit ribosomal RNA", at positions 1 to 332 of the family's 2925-position model. Lineage: Bacteria; Pseudomonadati; Campylobacterota; Epsilonproteobacteria; Campylobacterales; Campylobacteraceae. The record is from RNAcentral.
GGUAAAAAAAAGGUAAGCUACUAAGAGCGAAUGGUGGAUGCCUUGACUGGUAAAGGCGAUGAAGGACGUACUAGACUGCGAUAAGCUACGGGGAGCUGUCAAGAAGCUUUGAUCCGUAGAUUUCCGAAUGGGGCAACCCAAUGUAUAGAGAUAUACAUUACCUAUAUAGGAGCGAACGAGGGGAAUUGAAACAUCUUAGUACCCUCAGGAAAAGAAAUCAAUAGAGAUUGCGUCAGUAGCGGCGAGCGAAAGCGCAAGAGGGCAAACCCAGUGCUUGCACUGGGGGUUGUAGGACUGCAAUGUGCAAGAGCUGAGUUUAG